This 302-nucleotide ribosomal RNA is filed under the name uncultured bacterium. RNAcentral describes it as "bacterial SSU rRNA". It matches the Rfam family "Bacterial small subunit ribosomal RNA", at positions 1141 to 1443 of the family's 1533-position model. The record is from RNAcentral.
UAAUGGGACUGCCGGUGAUAAGCCGGAGGGAGGUGAGGAUGACGUCAAGUCAUCAUGGCCCUUACGGGCUGGGCUACACACGUGCUACAAUGGCAGUGACAAUGCGCAGCGACACAGCAAUGUGAUGCUAAUCGCAAAAAGCUGUCUCAGUUCGGAUUGAGGUCUGCAACUCGACCUCAUGAAGUCGGAAUCGCUAGUAAUCGCGGAUCAGAACGCCGCGGUGAAUACGUUCCCGGGCCUUGUACACACCGCCCGUCACACCAUGGGAGUUGGUUUUACUCGAAGACGGUGCGCUAACCGCA